UACGUAGGUGGCAAGCGUUGUCCGGAAUUAUUGGGCGUAAAGCGCGCGUAGGCGGUCCUUUAAGUCUGAUGUGAAAGCCCACGGCUCAACCGUGGAAGGUCAUUGGAAACUGGGGGACUUGAGUGCAGGAGAGAAGAGUGGAAUUCCACGUGUAGCGGUGAAAUGCGUAGAUAUCUGGAGGAACACCGGUGGCGAAGGCGGCAUCCUGGGCCAACACUGACGCUGAGUGAGCGAAAGCCAGGGGAGCAAACGGG
This 254-nucleotide ribosomal RNA is filed under the name uncultured bacterium. RNAcentral's name for it is "partial 16S ribosomal RNA". It matches the Rfam family "Bacterial small subunit ribosomal RNA", at positions 524 to 776 of the family's 1533-position model. The record is from RNAcentral.